RNAcentral lists this ribosomal RNA (512 nucleotides) under uncultured marine eukaryote. RNAcentral's name for it is "SSU rRNA". It matches the Rfam family "Eukaryotic small subunit ribosomal RNA", at positions 616 to 1133 of the family's 1831-position model. The record is from RNAcentral.
CGGUUAAAAAGCUCGUAGUUGGAUUUCUGUUGAGGUCAGCCGGUGUGCUCCAUGAGCAUUAUUUGGUUUGGUCUCGGCAUCCUCCUGGGGAGCGUCUCUGGCCUUCGUUGGACAGGGCGAGAUUCAGGACUUUUACUUUGAGGAAAUUAGAGUGUUCACGGCAGGCAAGUGCUUUGAAUACAUUAGCAUGGAAUAAUAAUAUAGGACCUUCGUUCUAUUUUGUUGGUUUCUAGAGCUUAGGUAAUGAUUAAUAGGGACAAUUGGGGGCAUUCGUAUUAACGCGUCAGAGGUGGAAUUCUUGGAUUGCGUUACGACGAACUACUGCGAAAGCAUUUGCCAAAGAUGUUUUCAUUGAUCAAGAACGAAAGUAUGGGGAUCGAAGACGCUUAGAUACCGUCGUAGUCUAUACCAUAAACUAUGCCAACUAGAGAUUGGUGGGGUUCUCCUUUUUGGCUCCAUCAGCAUCUUAUGAGAAAUCAAAGUUUUUGGGUUCCGGGGGGAGUAUGGUCGCA